This is a long non-coding RNA of Esox lucius (northern pike), 3476 nucleotides long. The record is from Ensembl. Lineage: Eukaryota; Metazoa; Chordata; Actinopteri; Esociformes; Esocidae.
CUCACCUGUAUGGCCCCAUUCCUUCCACACCCUGCCCCGUGUGGAGACUGAGCCAAUCACACCUAAUUAACUGCAGCUGGAAAUAACUGAAGAGGCCAGAGAUGCGCACAAAUACAAUAGUGAAUGUAGUCGGGCAAUUUAAUAGGGUCGGAAUACAAACCUGUGGAGGAAUUUGUUUUGAUGGAGAAUUUCAUCUCUCUGAGCACAAUAAGGCCAAGUCAGAUUCUACAGGGUAGUUGCUUUGACACUGGGAGUGAAUGUGUCUGGAAGCCCAGAAAAAAUCUGCUUCCAGUAUGUCAGACUAUUGAUUAUUUAGUGCACUUUUUUUUGACCAGGACCAAUAAACCGAAGGUAAGAAGCAAUACCUUAGUUAAGAAAUGUCCAAUCUGAGAUGCAACCAAUACCAAAAUACAGUAACACAAAAAUGCCAAUAUUUAAGCACUAGAGAUUAAAUUGUUCAUUGUUUCUUAAAAUCAUAUGCGGUUAGGACACCGGUCCUGUGUUGCCCAGUUUUUAAAGCACGGUGAUUUCCGUGCCUGAAAAUGUAGGUUUGAUCCCCAAGGGGGACAAGGUCAGAAAUGUAUGCACUCGCUACUGUUAGACCCUCUGCUGAAGAGUGUCAGCCAAAUGUCUAAAACGUAAACACAGAACAGUGCAAGUGUUGAAUUUAAAUGUUGUUUUACUGUUAGAUAAUUCCCAGAUUUCUCAUCACAGUUCAUGAUGAAUCAGUAUUAAUUAAGGCUGUGCACCAUGCUCCUAGCCUGCUAAACGGUUAGUUAAACAUUUCUACUGCCUGGGGCGACCACUUUUCUUUUCAAACUUCAGCGGCAAUCUAAGAGAUGUGAAAACGUCACGGUCCACAGAGGAGGGGUUUUAAGGCAAGGCUGGACUAUAUAAACCCAAUGGAAGCCUGAGGGACGUACAGAAAUAUUGUUCCAGGCUAGGAUACUAGGUUUUUCCCAAGUUCUAAUGAAUAACAUGUAUUUCUUUGGGAAGGUUGUGUGUGUUCUCUUGAUUUUAGUUCCGAUGUUGAGUUUGACACAGGCGGGUGUGAUUAGGCUGAGGCAUGAUAGACCAAGUGGCCAGGUGAAUUGGCCAGGUAGAACUGGAGGCAAGGGAAGGACUGGCUUCAUGUCACGCCAAGGAAGACCCCACCUCCCUGAAGAAAGGCUUCUUGAAGAAUAUCCCUUGUUCCACGGUGGAGCGAUUGAUCGUGUCGAUAUGGGCCAUUUAAACCAAGGUUUUGAGGGAUUCGGCUCCUUUUCUCAGCCAAUUCUGCUGAAGAGGGAACACAUGGAUCGUGACCAGAGGAGCUUUGGUCAGUUCAACUCCAGCCAGUUCCAGUCGGGUCACUUCAACUCUGACACAGGUGGCUGCAGUGGAAUCCAGGGGAGGAGCUGCAGUCGUCGCGGCCAAUGUGCAGGAUGCCUGGGCCUCUUCACCUGUCACGUGGAACUCGGAAAGUGCCAGAUGAAAGGGCUUUCACAAAGGACAGGAACGACCGGGUGCUUGAGAGCAAGUUCUUCCAGACUCUGAAUGAGGCCCAAAGCAGAUGAUUAAACCACCACCGCCAAUGAAGUUCCUGCUAUUGUGUGCCCCAUUGGUUAUGUAGUAUAGUGAAAAGAAUAUGCAUAGGAAGUUGUAUGUAGCGAGGUGGUCAAAUCUAUGUACUUCAAAUUAUAUUAAGUGCUUUUCAAUUAAAUUGAAUGUGGUUCACUUUUAGAAUAGAACCGCAAAGUACCCCAAUGCUGGUAUGUAAAUUUAAUUCCUUACCCAGUUCUAUAUAAUAUAUCACAUAAGUUGAAAAAUUAAAUCCAUUGCUGAUAAGUUUCAAUAGCAGAUUACUUUCACAACACCCAGGCACGUGUUACACAUUAAAAAACAGGCACCAAUUGUAAUAUUGCAUACUCAUGUCAUAACAUUUUUGGCAGAGCGCACCAGUACAUGUUCCCACCUAAAUGUUUUUGCAGCAAUGCAGAACAUGUGUGGAUCCAUUACAGUCACUUAAUGUGUAACAGAGUGUUAAUAAGUUGUUGGUAUGAUCCAAAACAUGUUUAAUCUAGCUACAAUAUAUCCAAACAGGAUGAUUCCACUUAUUUGCAUGUGAGGCUUAAACCAGUCCCUACCAUACACUCCAAUGUAUUUGUCCACUUUUCGAUGUUUCUAUAUUUCUGUCUAUGUCUGUGAAUGGUAUUAGCUCUUCAACCAAACAAUAAUAUUAAAUAAAGGGAACAUAAGCGAGGAAAUAAGAAAAUAUUUAUAUAUUGAUUCUAUUUACGUAAUUAACAAAGCAAUAACCAAUAAUCCCCUGUGAAAAAACGAUGCGACACCUUAAGCUGCCUAAACUAACACGUUCUUUAUUUGUCGUGUUUCACAUCACCAUGUUAGACUUUUUGCCAACUCUUCCUUGCAGAACACUGCUUGUUUCAUGUCUUGUCUCAACUGGGUUUAGCACAGGAAAUAGAUACGGUAAUUCCAGCUCUUUCAACUGGUUGACCAUUGUCUUGCUGCAUGAUCAUGAUACACUCCAACUCAUAGACUGUUGAGCUGACACUGUCUUUUAGAAAUAUCUGAUACAUAGCAGAAUUCAUGGUUCCUUCAGAGAUGGCAAAACAUCCCGUUAUCCCCUAUGCUAGCCUGGAUAAAGGUUGGAGAAUGUGGUAUUAGACUUGCUUGUCCAAAGUUCUGUUUAAUUUUGACGCAUCUUUCAAUUCUCUGUAUACACUCAGAGUCCUGAGCAGACAUUUUGAACAGUCUGGGUCCUAUUGUGUCAGGUCAAAACCAAACACUGCAUUCCACAGUAGUGACCCCUUAUGAAAGGUCAAGCAUGGAGAAGCAUGUUUUGGGGAUGAUUUCCCGUUUUGGGAUCAAUCUAUUAGUUCAAACUGUUUAAAAACAGUCAUCAAAAAUGUAGUUAGCAGUUUUUAAGAAUUUAGCUUGAAUUUUUAUUGCAAUUAUUUUUGAGGAAUCCAGUUUGAUAAGUUACAUUAUUUUAUGUCCCUCAGUGCCCCAGCCUGAUGGCUUGUGUUGUUCUUUAUUACUUUUGUGAUUUUAUAUUCAAUCUCCCUCAGAAUCAAUUCCAAUUUCUUGGAUACAUCCUUCUGGCCUCAGUGUGUCAUGUCCUGGCAGGGCAGGCCAGCUGUGCCAGUCAAAUCCAACUCAGUAAUGACCAACAACAAACACUAGGCAGGGAGGAUUUAAAUAGGGACAGUGGUCAGGAUCAGGAACAGUGAUGAGGACAAUAACAUAUACUGUGUCAGUGCCUCAUAAGUGUCUUUUAUUUUAGUUCCCUAUUGUUUGUUGUAGGUCCUUAUUUGGUUCUCGUGCCACUGCAACAUUGUUUUUGUGUGUAGUUUUGUUACCUUUUAGUGCAGGGACUACCUGAGUCUGCUUUUCAUCAAACUACUAAUUAGAAUCAGGUGUGCUGAAUAAGAGUUGGAGAGAACCUACAGGACUGUGGCUCUCCAGGAACAGGG